Non-coding RNA from Arachis ipaensis, 160 nucleotides. NCBI's taxonomy places the organism in Eukaryota, Viridiplantae, Streptophyta, Magnoliopsida, Fabales, Fabaceae. The record is from RefSeq and is a predicted model, not a curated record.
AAAAGAGGAAGGAAGCAUGCAAAAAAGGAGAAAACAUGAAGAAAACAAAGGAGAAGCACACGUUGGAGUGUGCGUGCGAACAACCCUUUGUGCGUACACACAAGAAGAAAAUCAGCAUGUGUGCGUACGCACACACCUGUGUGUACGCACACAUCCCAGC